This 60-nucleotide transfer RNA is filed under the name Cassidinae sp. ACP-2018. Its description in RNAcentral is "tRNA-Cys". Lineage: Eukaryota; Metazoa; Arthropoda; Insecta; Coleoptera; Chrysomelidae. The record is from RNAcentral.
CAGUUUUGUAGUCAAUUAUGAUAUUAAAUUGCAAGUUUAAUGGUGAUUAUUUCCAAGGCU